GCCGGCGUAGGCUAAUCCGGUAAGCCGCUAGGUUCAGACCCUAGCGUCCGUAAGGACUUCGGGGUUCAAAUCCCCGCGCCGGCG
This 84-nucleotide transfer RNA is filed under the name Candidatus Woesearchaeota archaeon. Its description in RNAcentral is "tRNA-Leu". It matches the Rfam family "tRNA". From Rfam's summary of the family: Transfer RNA (tRNA) molecules are approximately 80 nucleotides in length. Their secondary structure includes four short double-helical elements and three loops (D, anti-codon, and T loops). Lineage: Archaea; Nanobdellati; Candidatus Woesearchaeota. The record is from RNAcentral.